Triticum aestivum (bread wheat) is the source of this 3740-nucleotide long non-coding RNA. RefSeq lists it as uncharacterized. NCBI's taxonomy places the organism in Eukaryota, Viridiplantae, Streptophyta, Magnoliopsida, Poales, Poaceae. The transcript has 13 exons. The record is from RefSeq and is a predicted model, not a curated record.
AACCAUUCCCCUCCACCCUCUCUCCCCGCACACGCACCCAGACGCCAGACCUAGCGACCACCAUGGCAGCAGCGGCGGCGCCGCCACCGGUCCCCAACGAGCUCGUCUAAGAGAUCCUCCUCCGAAUCUCGCCCGACGGCCCAGCCUGCCCCCUCCGUGCCCCCCUCGUCCGCAAGACCUGGAGCCACACCGUCUCGCACCCGGGUUUCCGACGCCGCCUCCACGAGAUCCACCGGGCAGCCCCCCGCGCUCGGAUUCCUCCACAACAGGGCCGACGAGCGCAAACCCUGCUUCAUCCCACCACCGCCUCGCCCUUCUUCCAUGCCGCCCCAGACUGCCGCUCCUGGUGGGCCCGCCACGGCCGCGCCCUCUUCCUCUCCAAGGACGGGUGCGACCACCGCGGCUGCCUCGCGGGUCCUUUCCGCUUGGCCUUCCUCUUCGCCGUCCAGGAAGACACUGACGACGGUGAGCAUGUCACAUCGGAGACUGGCGCCUGGGUCGAGCUGACCUAGAUGCACUGCGAUGGCGAGUUCUCCAUGGAAUUCACAGAACAUUCCAGCGUGCUCGUUGGCAGGACAGUGCGUCGAUCAUGGGGCAUGACUGUUCGCCCCACCAGGCGGAGGACAGUGGGCUGGGAGUAGUCCAAGACCUGGAUCCGCAUCUCAAAUUGUGGACAAGAGUGGCGAGUGACAUGCACGACUUGCUCUUGUGAGAUUCUACCUGGGCAAUUUGGCCCCAACUGGUGCUCUCUUCAAUGCAGAACAUAGAGUGCAAGUGCCGGGCUUUGCUGAGGGAGCAAUGUCAUAUUUGUUAACACGGUCGCCGGCCUCUUCACAUCGAUCUACAAUCGGAGCAGUCGUGCAAAUGUCCAUGGCUUUUAUAAUUUGAUUCCAGUUCUCAGCUUCCACACUCAUGUACCCCGAGGCAAGCGCACCAGACUUUGCCAGCUUCAAAGCCCAGUGAGGAGGCAGGUUAUGAGGAGAAGGGGGGAGAGGAGGAGAAACCAGUAAACCGGCACAUAAGCAGCUAUUGGACGAGGGAACCAAUGCUAUCAAGGAAGGGGACUUUGUCAACACCUUUGAAUGCGUCAGCCAUGACCUCAAGAUCAGGGCUCCUUGUUAUGGAGAAGGUGCUAGCACGCUCAACAAACAUGGAUAUGCCUUGCUACCGAAAGAUUCUCUUGGUGAUGUUCCUAAGAGGGCACCAAAUGAGGAAUCAGCGAAGGGUACAACCAGCAAAGAUGAUGCCGGGAACCUGACGACCUCUGAUAGCAAUGUUGAUGGUGCUCCACCUUCGGAGAAGGCCGGUGAGUUUUUCUAUUCAGCUCAAAGAAGUGCUGUAUCACAAGAGAGGCAAUUGGAAGCAAAUCAGUCUGGUCAGAAUUCACCGGAGAGUCCUUCCUUAGAGCAGCUGAAAGAUUAGUGAGACUGAUUGAAUUCUGAACAUGUAACAUCUGUUCCAUGUGAGAGAAAUAGCAUGUCGAUAUCAUCUUGAAAUAAUCACAGCUGGGGGACGAGCUUGGUAGCUGAGGGUGAUGUGCAGAGUGGGAGGAAGGAGGUGUGAGGCUUGGAACUCUCCUUGUGAGGGCUCAGGGACAGCGGUUAGGAGCAUGGCAGGUGUCCAACUCGACUUCCUCGGCAACAGCAACAAGAAGGGUGGCCAUGGCGGCAAGGGAGGAGACAACAACCAGCAGAGCAAUGAGAUCGCUAAGUCUCUGACCAUGUCUCUUCCUGCUCGAUUCGCUUGGCUCCUGCGCUGAUUUCUCUUUGUUUUCCCAGGUUUGUUCUGGUAGCAGAAUGGUGCAGAACAACUGAGAAGCGGACUAUAUGGACAUGAUGCGUGAUCUACACAUCGAUGACUAUUUGCUCAAGUGGAACAUCCAAACAGCCAACCUGUUCAUGGUGGAGGGGGCGAUGCCUCCUAAAUUCUCCAAUUCAUAAGUAUCCACUGCUGCUGGUUAUGUUUGAACAUACUUUAGAUUUGGAAGAUUCACAAAAUGUUACAAGCUUCCUCGAUGCACUUUACUAUUGAAAGAUGCAUAAAACGUGAAGGAAGAAGUCACAUUUUGUGAGUAGUCGUUUUGAUGAUUGUACUAAUUUAUCUCUUAACUUGCUAGAUUCUAUUGAUGUUUUCUGAAUUUAAAAGAUCCUAGUGGAUGCUCGUUCUAGAGAACAAAAUAUUUUCUACUUGACUGUUCUGCAGAUGCUCAGGUGCAACCUGGAAUGAUUGGGUUUAGGACAUUAGGUGGCAGUAUAAUUCUCAUGCUGACGACAGUUAUUUUUUUGGCAAGGAUUCAGUGGUUGUCUGUGGCAUGUGAUAUCGUAGAUUGUGCCUCAACUUUGCUGCUAACCUUACAUCACCCCUUUGGCAUCGGCACAGUUCACUCAAGUUGAUGUUGUAAGCCUGAGUGAUGCUUUUCAGUUCAACUAGGAACUCGUCAUUAUUGGAGUCUUUCAUCUGUAUAUACCAACGCAAGGCGGGAGAAGAAGCAGAUUGAUUGAUGAAAGAAACGCAAGAAAAAGAGAAAAAGAGCCGCUAAAUGAUUUAUGGGGCAUGUGACUUAUCCCUGUUGGUUCUCCUUUCCGCAAACUAAACCAAUAAUCAAUAUUGUCAGUUUGAGUGUAUGCUGGAUGUGAGAGUUAAUGAAGAUGGUCAGUCGUGCUGUUGAAAGUACACAAGCUGUUAAGGUCUAUCGAAAAACAUGUAGAUAUGUUUGGGAGCCUUUGUUCCAGCCAACAAAUUGCUCCUCAGAAAUUUAUAUUUUGCUCUGGUGAUUAAGUAUAAAGCAAUGCCUCUUGAAGUAGCUCCUCGGAAUCUUCUACAGGGCAUAUUUUUUUGACAAAGUCUACAGGACAUAUGACUAAGACAAGACUCAUGCCAUAAGGUUCUCCAAAAUCCUUUGUUCAAGCAGAAAACCGCUUUACACAACAACCUCAUUUUUAUCCAGUUUGGGGAAGGCAACAGUUCUACUCACGAUGGUGCUGCAUGAAGCUGGAAGUACUCAUUAUCCUGUUGGCUCUGCUCUGGCCAAUAAUGAAAUAAUCUAUGCGCAAGACUGCAAGUACUGACGUAUAUAAUGGUCACAAAUAUCCACAUCAUUAUGCCUUUGUUUUCACCUCGGGUUUCGUAUUAUGGAGAAGGUGCUCUGGAUGGUCCUAGCACGCUCAAAAACAUGGAUGUGCCUUGCUACCCUCCGGGUGAUGUUCCUAAUACGGGCACCAAAUGAAGAAUCGGUAAGGGUACAACCAAUAAAGAUGAUGCCGGGAACUUGACGACCUCUAAUAUCAAUGUUAACGGUGCUCCACCUUCGGAGAAAGAUUCUUUGUUCUCUGAAUUACAUGCAUUUUGGUGAACAAAAAGUAUGAUAUGGUGUUCCUGGUGAAAAUGCAGUGAAGCUAGAAGAUGCUAUGAGAAGGAACUUGCCAAGACAGUUUGAAGAGCAGCCUGAUCUCGUGCAUGAGCUGUGACAACCACUGACGGCUACCUGUGAUGCUGCUGACUGCUGCGCUUUCGUCUCAGGCACUGGCGGUGGCGGUUCCGCCAUUCAUGGCGGUGACCAUGGUGCAAGGUCCUUUGCGUGGUAUCCAAGUUUCUCCUUGCUCCUUCGUCGGCUUGCUUGAACACUACCUCCCCUCGAAGUACCUGGUUUCUUAGAUUGUUACUGCUAGACCCGCACAAUGAGAACUGUGGUAUGGUGCCUCGAGUGUCUGAGCAUCUGUUCUUAAGAAUCCAGAAGGCAA